UUACUACUCCCUCCGUUCGGAAAUACUUGUCCUAGAAAUGGUUGUAUCUAGAUACAACCAUUUCUAGGACAAGUAUUUCCGAACGGACGGAGUAAGAU
Triticum aestivum (bread wheat) is the source of this 98-nucleotide non-coding RNA. The record is from Rfam. Lineage: Eukaryota; Viridiplantae; Streptophyta; Magnoliopsida; Poales; Poaceae.